Amphiprion ocellaris (clown anemonefish) is the source of this 811-nucleotide long non-coding RNA. The record is from Ensembl. Lineage: Eukaryota; Metazoa; Chordata; Actinopteri; Pomacentridae.
AGCUAAUAGACCGUUAAGGCUUUUGACCAGACAAAAGCCAAUUCAGCCGAAGCGGUUGUGGCUGUGUCAAGGUGCAAUUUGAAAACCAAGGAAAGGGGAGAGCAGAAAAGUCGUGGGACUGACAUCACUAAAAUACUUCUGAUACUUUCAGGGAAGCCAUACUUGAAGUCUGAAUGAGACGUCACAAAAGAGAAACAGCAGGCAGUAUAAACCCAGGUGGACAACUUUGAGGACGUUUGGCAGCACAAUAUAAAGAUUGCUGUUGUUGGUGCUUCCUACGCUGAAGAUCCUGUUGAUGUCUCUCUUAUUCUUGACGGCAAGGAGGUUGUGACUGGAUGUGGAAAUACUGCAAAGGCAUGUACACUGCUAAUGGGUCUGAUAUAUUCCCUCAAUCUUGCUUAUCCUCCAACACUGCGUUACACUUUUGAAGUGUUCCAGAAGCUUUUCUUAGAUUUAGACGCAAUAAAGCUAUCCCCCAAAGUACAAACUCUGAAAAUGAAGUUGCUGUCCAAAACUUAAAAGAUGACAUUUUAUUCAGCUUUGUUCAGCUUGGUAUGCCUUUGCCAUUAUAGCAGUUUAUGCUAUAAAGUUGUAUUGUUAUUGUGUAACUCUUGCACAUGCUUCAAAGUCGUUAAUUGUUCAUGAAUGUUAAUACAGCUGCAAAACUUAUGCAGCCAUUUCUCACAGCUGUGCCUUCAGAAAGGACUUAUAUAGAUAAUAGUAUGACAACAAGAAUUGCUGAUUUGUUGUUUUUUUUUUUCAAGUGUAAAACUUGGACAAAAAAGGCUGUCAAUAAAACAAAGUUGUUAAA